This 23-nucleotide microRNA is filed under the name Oryctolagus cuniculus (rabbit). Its description in RNAcentral is "ocu-miR-105b-5p". Its record names the gene ocu-miR-105b-5p. Lineage: Eukaryota; Metazoa; Chordata; Mammalia; Lagomorpha; Leporidae. The record is from miRBase by way of RNAcentral.
UGAAAUGCUCAAACAUCAGUGGU